UACAUGGGGUGCAAACGUUGCUCGGAAUCAUUGGGCGUAAAGCGCGCGUAGGCGGUUACUUAAGUUGGAUGUGAAAGCCCUCGGCUUAACUGAGGAAGUGCAUCCAAAACUGAGUAGCUAGAGUACGAAAGAGGGUCGCGGAAUUCCCGGUGUAGAGGUGAAAUUCGUAGAUAUCGGGAGGAACACCGGUGGCGAAGGUGGCGACCUGGGUCGAGACUGACGCUGAGGCGCGAAAGCGUGGGGAGCAAACAGG
Molecule: ribosomal RNA, 253 nt
Filed under: uncultured bacterium
Lineage: Bacteria
Description: partial 16S ribosomal RNA
Rfam family: Bacterial small subunit ribosomal RNA
Source: RNAcentral